ACUGCAAGUCGAGCGGAAGAAGGGAGCUUGCUCCCGGAUGUUAGCGGCGGACGGGUGAGUAACACGUGGGUAACCUGCCUGUAAGACUGGGAUAACUCCGGGAAACCGGAGCUAAUACCGGAUAGUUCCUUGAACCGCAUGGUUCAAGGAUGAAAGACGGUUUCGGCUGUCACUUACAGAUGGACCCGCGGCGCAUUAGCUAGUUGGUGGGGUAAUGGCUCACCAAGGCGACGAUGCGUAGCCGACCUGAGAGGGUGAUCGGCCACACUGGGACUGAGACACGGCCCAGACUCCUACGGGAGGCAGCAGUAGGGAAUCUUCCGCAAUGGACGAAAGUCUGACGGAGCAACGCCGCGUGAGUGAUGAAGGUUUUCGGAUCGUAAAGCUCUGUUGUUAGGGAAGAACAAGUGCGAGAGUAACUGCUCGCACCUUGACGGUACCUAACCAGAAAGCCACGGCUAACUACGUGCCAGCAGCCGCGGUAAUACGUAGGUGGCAAGCGUUGUCCGGAAUUAUUGGGCGUAAAGGGCUCGCAGGCGGUUUCUUAAGUCUGAUGUGAAAGCCCCCGGCUCAACCGGGGAGGGUCAUUGGAAACUGGGAAACUUGAGUGCAGAAGAGGAGAGUGGAAUUCCACGUGUAGCGGUGAAAUGCGUAGAGAUGUGGAGGAACACCAGUGGCGAAGGCGACUCUCUGGUCUGUAACUGACGCUGAGGAGCGAAAGCGUGGGGAGCGAACAGGAUUAGAUACCCUGGUAGUCCACGCCGUAAACGAUGAGUGCUAAGUGUUAGGGGGUUUCCGCCCCUUAGUGCUGCAGCUAACGCAUUAAGCACUCCGCCUGGGGAGUACGGUCGCAAGACUGAAACUCAAAGGAAUUGACGGGGGCCCGCACAAGCGGUGGAGCAUGUGGUUUAAUUCGAAGCAACGCGAAGAACCUUACCAGGUCUUGACAUCCUCUGACAACCCUAGAGAUAGGGCUUUCCCUUCCGGGACAGAGUGACAGGUGGUGCAUGGUUGUCGUCACCUCCUGUCUUGAGAUGUUGGGUUAGUUCCCNCACCAACGCCACCCUUGAUCUUAGUUGCCACCAUUCAAUUGGGCCCUCUAAAGGNACUGCCGGGGA
Molecule: ribosomal RNA, 1118 nt
Filed under: Bacillus safensis
Lineage: Bacteria; Bacillati; Bacillota; Bacilli; Caryophanales; Bacillaceae
Description: bacterial SSU rRNA
Rfam family: Bacterial small subunit ribosomal RNA
Source: RNAcentral